CGCUGGCGGCGUGCCUAACACAUGCAAGUCAACUUGACUGAAGGAGCAAUCUGACAGUAGAGUGGCGCAAGGGUGCGUAACGCGUAAGUAACUUGCCCAAGGUAAGGAAUAACGUCGAGAAAUCGGCGCUAAUACCUCAUAAUGCAGCGGAUCCGCAUGGAUAUGUUGUUAAAGGUUUACCGCCUUGGGAUAGGCUUGCGUCUGAUUAGUUAGUUGGUGUGGUAACGGCACACCAAGGCUACGAUCAGUAACUGGUCUGAGAGGAUGAUCAGUCACACUGGAACUGAGACACGGUCCAGACUCCUACGGGAGGCAGCAGUGAGGAAUAUUGGGCAAUGCUCGAAAGAGUGACCCAGCAACGCCGCGUGGAGGAUGAAGGUAUUCUAUAUCGUAAACUCCUGUGAGAGCAGACGAAAGACAGAUUAUUAAUCUGGAUGACUGUAUGCUCAGAGGAAGCCCCGGCUAACUACGUG
Molecule: ribosomal RNA, 473 nt
Filed under: uncultured bacterium
Lineage: Bacteria
Description: bacterial SSU rRNA
Rfam family: Bacterial small subunit ribosomal RNA
Source: RNAcentral